AUGAACGCUGGCGGCGUGCCUAAUACAUGCCAGUCGAGCGAACAGACGAGGAGCUUGCUCCUCUGACGUUAGCGGCGGACGGGUGAGUAACACGUGGAUAACCUACCUAUAAGCCUGGGAUAACUUCGGGAAACCGGAGCUAAUACCGGAUAAUAUAUUGAACCGCAUGGUUCAAUAGUGAAAGACGGUUUUGCUGUCACUUAUAGAUGGAUCCGCGCCGCAUUAGCUAGUUGGUAAGGUAACGGCUUACCAAGGCAACGAUGCGUAGCCGACCUGAGAGGGUGAUCGGCCACACUGGAACUGAGACACGGUCCAGACUCCUACGGGAGGCAGCAGUAGGGAAUCUUCCGCAAUGGGCGAAAGCCUGACGGAGCAACGCCGCGUGAGUGAUGAAGGUCUUCGGAUCGUAAAACUCUGUUAUUAGGGAAGAACAAAUGUGUAAGUAACUAUGCACGUCUUGACGGUACCUAAUCAGAAAGCCACGGCUAACUACGUG
This 496-nucleotide ribosomal RNA is filed under the name uncultured bacterium. RNAcentral describes it as "partial 16S ribosomal RNA". It matches the Rfam family "Bacterial small subunit ribosomal RNA", at positions 29 to 507 of the family's 1533-position model. The record is from RNAcentral.